UUUGGUUUGAACUGUUGUAGUCCUUGCUUAUAAGAAAGCAGUGUUGGCUAAUUUCAUGGACUUGUGCAGUGUGCCCCCCAUCUUCGAGUGUUCCGCCCGGUUCACUAGGUUGUUGCCUUACCAAGCACUUGCUUGCUGCUCCUAUUGGCGUGCGGAGCAUUCAUUAUCCCGACUUCUCUCUGCUGGGCCCUUCCUGCAUUGAAUAAAGGACAAUUAUUUAGUGCGAUAUUUUAGUACGUUGAAUAAUUGUCCUUUCCAGGUAUAGAUAUGACGACCAAGCGCUCAAAGGACUUCUUUGAAUUUGCCCUUUGUUUUUCCAACUAAGAAAGACAUGGUAGUUGCAAUGCAACACAUGACUUAAGAUCUUGAACAAGGAUAGGCUGAACACGAACCCAAUAUCGAAGAACUAAAGAGGAAGCUAGUUGAUCAUUCAACUAUGUGAAUCUACCCUAGGAUCCAACCUGCCAACUUUCUUCGCUUAUGAUAUUUCAAAUAGCGAGACAUAUCAAGUGUUGAAUAUUUCGAAUAAAGAGAAAUAAUGGGGAAUAGAAUACAAGUGUUGAAUACCAACGCCUACUCUUGUGAAAGGUGGGCCUGGCAUCUUUUCUUUGAGAUAGAAGGUGAAAGUCCUUGUUGGUGUGACAGUAUGAGUAGAAGGUGCAUGGUUAUCCUUUUGGUUGAAAGGUACUUGUCAUACCUUAAAUCCACGUGAUCGCCAUCUGAGCAAACCAAACUCGUAUGGUGCACCCCGACCAUAUGCAUUUGAACCAUCACGGAAGUGAUUUGAAGCUUUUAUACAUUUUCAAAUCAAUCAUGAAACGUUAUCAACAUUAAAACCAUACAUGAAUCAUUUCAUAAAGAUAAUAAAAUAAAAAAUAAAAUAAAUGUGUUUCCUUGUAUGUCAUAGUCACUCCCAUUAUUACGACACAACACAACCAUCUAUGGAACCUCUAUACAACGGAAUAAAAUUAAACUCUUGGCUAGAUUUUCGACUAAAGAAAAGAAGAAGGGACAUACUAGCUACCACAAGUAUCAUUGACUCUUAAAUCAUCUCACUUCAGCCCUGUUCACUCAUCACGUAUCAUGCCUCAUUCUUAAAUAUGGAAAAUAGAGGGCCCUAAAGAGGGAUGAGUACACCUAUCACAGUACUCAAUUAGUAUCAUUGACCUUCUCACAAAAAGUUGGCAAAGAGGUGGAAUCAAUUGAAGAGGAGGCUCGACCCACAGGGGAGAGUUGUGCAGGCGAUUCCAAAAGUUGAAUCGAUAAUUGAAGCAAAUCAAGUAUUAUUUGAUAUAAAACAAAAUGUUAAUAUAAUAACAACAUAUUUUACUUUUGCGAUGGCGGAUCUAGUGUAAAUUUAUUUCAACUCAACCUUAUAAACUUGUUAAUUCCAUUCAAAAAAUAAAAUUAAAAAGGGCAGCCCGGUGCACUAAAGCUCCUGCUAUGCGCAGGGUUCGGGGAAGGGCCCCAUCACAAGGGUUUAUUGUACGUAGACUUACAUUGCAUUUCUUCCUGAGGCUGUUGGAAGGCUUGAACCUGUGACCUCCUGGUCCAUUCACAAAAUAAUUUGUAUAAAAUUAUACAAUCCCAUUCCAAUUGAAUAAAAUCAUAAUAGUCGCUUUCGGCUCCUUAGGUCUAAAUGUAUUCAAAUCUUCCAUACUUUCCACUAGGAGUACUAUAUCAACGCCGACACAAGAUCCAAGCUCAAAUAUGUUAUCAACAUAGCGACAAGUAUUAUAUAACCUACUUGCUCAGGUCAUCUCAUCGAAGUGCCACAUGAAUUGACUCAGCUAUGCUAUUAUAGCACAAUACUAGUAACCUCUCAUGCGGGCACUCUGUCGUAGCCCUUUACCAUUAGGUAGAAUCUACACAUACAUCGACGGGUGUAGCUUCAUGGCGUCGGCGAGUUUUAGCCGAAGUCAAUCUCGGUGAACACAAGUAACUCUCAAAAUAUUUAAAUAUGAAACAAAUAAAUUUAUGGCCUAGUAGCCUUAAAAGAUCUACUUAUAUCAAAUCAUGACGUUAAUAACCAAUCCAACUCAUUAGAUAGAUUUAAAUGUAAAAUCUUCUCCUCAAAUUAUCAAAGCAUUGUCAAAUGAAGAUUUAAGACUCAAAAUAUUCAAUAAGUGCUAUUUCAAAUCAUGUGGCUUUUAGAAGCAUAAAUACUAAUGAGUUUAAAUUAUUUAAAGCAAAUAACACUUUGAUGAAAAAUUUCAAAUCAUUCAUGUAGCAUUCUCAACUUUAAAACCAUACAUGAAUCAUUUCAUAAGAAUAUUAAAUUAAAACUAAAAUAAAUGUGUUUCCAUGUAUGUCACGUGCAUUCCCAUUAUUGUGACCUAACACAGCUAUCUAUGGAUCCUCUAUACAAUGGAAUAAAAUUAAAAUCUUGGGACAAAUUUCCGGCGAAAGAAAAGAAGAAAGAACAUACAAAUUACAUACACAUGUCUACUUUAGUUUGAUCCAUUUAGUUCAAUGUAUGAUCGUACUUUCUCAUUUUCAGCCAACACUUAAAUUUAACUCAAAUCACACACGUUCCAAAGUUGUAAAGGUUUAUCCAAGUUGACUAUUAAAUCCUUGACUACUAGAUAAUACUUUCAACCUCGAUGCAGAAUAUCAUAUCUAUAACUCAUAAUGAACGUGUGAUUUUCGUACAAGCACUUUAUGGUAAUUAUAUACCCAUUUCAUCAUGAAGGUUACCAAUGGCUUUCCUUUGUCUUGUUUCUGGUAUCUAGAGUCUUUCGUUUCUUCACCAUUUCAUCAUGAAGGUUACCAAUGGUUUUCCUUUGUCUUGUCUGUGGUAUCUAGAAUCUUUCAUUUCUUCACCAUCAUCUUAAGGUGACUUUAUUGAGAAAUAAUAUGAUAGUUGAACUUUUUAAGGUAAUAUGAUUUAACAUGCUUGAAUAAGACAUCGCAAUCUAAAGUACAUAUACUAGUCAUGCUAAAUCAAAAAAGGAAAACAAAUUGGGAUGAAGGUUCUUUGAAGUUUUGGCAUUUCCAUUACAAUGUAGUGAUAUUCAACUUUCCUUUGAAAUUUUUAGUUGCUAAUUCCAUGCAUGUUUCUUACUGUUAAUUGCACUUUUAAACUCCAUCUUACUCAUGCUAAAUCAAAAAAGGAAAACAAAUUGGGAUGAAGAUUCUUUGAAAUUAUGGCAUUUCCAUGGAAAUUGUCAUAUUCAACCUUGCUUUGAUAGUUUUAAACUCUAUGUUCCCCACAUAAGACCAUAUUACAAGGUAAUUAUGAAAUUUAUGACAGAUUUAUACAGUCAAAAUUGAAAUAUUAUUGGUAAUCAGUACCUUAGUCUAAGUUUUUGAUUUUACGGAAUCCUUGUAAGAUCAUCAAGGACUCACUUUUGCUUUCCUUUUCGAACUGUAGAUUUGGCUGCAGCACUGCCUUCAUGCUGAUAUUUACAUAUAUAGCCAGUCAGUGUUCCUUGAAAAAGAAGAGAACUAAAAAACAAUAUUAGUGGCAGGUUAGGAUAAUCAAGUUCACAAAAACAAUAUGUCGAGAUUCUACUAGUGGUCCAACUGCAGAUUCAAGAGCAGGAAAAUGUUUUGUGUUUCUUAUCUUAUCAAAUCACUUAUUCAAUAUCUCAUCUUUCCUGUAGUUAAGACAUUUCAAGAUCAGCAGAUCAUGCUGAACCAAAAAAUGGUGAUUGUGAUGUGAUGCAUGUCAUCGUUCACUAACUAGUUUUUUUUUUUUUUUAAAUGAUUAUCUCUGUUCUAAUCGGCCGAUGUCAUGGUUACUAUUUUUUUAAAAAGCGCCCCUGUUUUGUAAAAGUGCAUCCAAGGAUCACACUUGGUGGUUUUUGGUUGCAUCUGAUUUGCUAAUUGAGCUUUUGAGGAUCAUAGCAGUACACCACAGAGGCAGCUAAAUGUUGAGUUAUUUAUUACUACUUGACAAUUGUUCCCCACUUUUGAAGGUAGAGCGGACAUGAAGAGAAGUGAUUUUGGGCUGUUACUGUAUAGUUUUUUCCAAGGAGAUAUUUUAAGUGUGUAGUGUAAAGAACAUGUCAAAUUGGCAUGCUUUCAGUUUUACUUAUCAAGAACAUUGACAUGCAUUAGUUUUUUUUCCCAAUUUUGCCUUUAGCAAGUUUGCAUAUUUUACCAUGCACAGGUAAAACUUUUUCUAGAAGAGGAUUGUCCAUCAAAAGUCGGUUGGGGAUCUCAACAUCAUCUUCAGUUAAAGAGGACGCCUCCGAGUAUUAUUAGAAAAUCAUCUGAAGGAAGACAAUGUCUGAAGCAGUCAAAAGAGAAGCUUUCAUACCUAUCUCUGGCUAAAUGGAAAUGCCCUCCCAAGGUAAGCUAAGUUUUAGAUGAUAGGAGGUGCCUUUAUAUGCGUAGUUUCUUGACACAUUGUCAUAAUAGCCCAUUUAAUGUUGUUAUUGGUAGUUUAAUUUGGAUGCGGAGUGGCGUGUGGUUGCUGGUGAAGAAAGUAAAGAAGCAGAGGAUCAGGAGCAUAGGGAAAAGAGAGUUUCUGAGGUGGUUUAUCCUUCUUGGUCUACAAUUCCUCCGAAGUAUGUAAUUUUUGGACUAUGUCUUUCUAGUUUAGAGCUUCUUUGUCUCAUUUACUUGGUUUUAAUCCCUUGUUUCUCCUAUUGGCGUAUAGUCCUUACAUCUCGUCGGAUCUGAAGCAAUAUUAUGAUGAUAACCAAACUCCAGUGAUUCGAAUCACUCCCAUUGAAGAAGCAGAUGUAGAAGCUCCAUUCCAUUUAACACCACCCCAAACCAUAAGCAGCAAAUCGCCAGGUGCGUGUCUACCCAACAGUCCAUCAUCAUCUGUCAGUAUAGUUACUUCUCAAAAGCUACCUGAUAAUGGAAAAUCGGUUCCCCAGUCUUUGUCAACCUUCCCAAAUCCCAAGAAACUUCCAAGCAACUCUCCUUUUUCUGUAAGAUGGCCUUAUAAUGUGCAAUCUGCUUCUCCAUAUCUUUCAAAAUGUCCAAAUCUGGCGGGAUCUUCUGAGACUCAAGUCUCUCCUAAACCACCUGUUAGUUACAAUUCUGUUUCCCAGUGUAGAUCGACAUUUAAAAAUCUCAGCACUCCAGACCAGACUGAAAUUUUUCCAGUCCAACCAGCUAAUCAAAACCUUGUGCCCAAGUAUCGAACAGUAGGUGAAAGCCAGGAAAUUUCCCAGAAAAAGUCUCAAGUUUCUGGAAAGCUACCUGCUAAUUACAACCCUGUCACCCAAUUUCCCUCCACAUGUAAAAAUCCAGACCAGACUGAAAUUUUUCCAGACCAACCAGCUAAUCAAAAACAUGCGCCCAAAUAUCAAACAUUGGGUGAAAGCCAGGAAAUUUCCCAGAAAAUGUCUCUAGUUUCUGGAAAGCCACCUGCUAAUCGCAACCUUGUCACCCAAUCUCCCUCCACAUGUGAAAAUCCAAAUCAGACUAAAAUUUUUCCAGACCAACCAGCUAAUGAAAACCAUGCACCCAAGUAUCAAACAGUAGGUAAAAACUGGAAUACUUCCCAGGUAAAAUCUCAAGUUUCUGGUAAGCCACCUGCUAAUCAUAACCCUGUCACCCAAUUUCCCCAAUGUGAAAAUCCCAGCAUCCCUGAUUUCGACGGUGAUUUGACUGUCGCUGUUGCUGUAGCUGCACUGGCGAACACUCAAGAGCAGAGUAGCCUUAUUGACACAGACUUACUGGUGAAGCUUCUGCUGAAACCAGAAGAAUUACAAAAGUUGAUGAGUGCACGUGGACUGGCUACAGACUCUAAACCCGAUAAGGUAAUUAACAAGCCAAUUAAUGAAUACCAAGUUCCCCAUACAGGAUCUGGACCAAUUUUUGGGCCAAAGCCAAUGGCAAAAUCUGUGCCGUUGAUGAUGACUAAGCCUGAAACAUCCGUGAAAAGUAAUUUGGCUAAUGAACAGGGGCCCCCAACUCAUGUAGAAAUUGCAAACAUUAGAGGGAGUAAGCCACUAGUUCAUCCUACUUCAGACCUAAAUCUGGAAAAGAUUAAAAAACUAAUUAACGAAUAUGGAGCACCCAACAAUGUAGGAGGUAAGCCCUUGGCUAAUUCUGAGUUGGUUCCUUCAUCUCGUUCCAAAUAUGAUGUCGUUUUGUCAAGUGCACACCGUCCUACCACCUUGCAGCCUGAGCUGCCGGUAUCACUAAAUUCUGUCCAUACAUCCCCUUUAUCCUCGAUGACUAGUCCUGCCCCUCUUCACAAGGAUAUCAAUUACUACAAGUCCCUGAUCAAGCAACAUGGACAAAAUUAUGAAUCUGUGGUUGAUGAACGCUUACAAAGUAUCAAUCCUCGUGGUAAUACACGAGGACCAGGUUUGUUAAACAACCAAAACCCAAAUCAGCGUUGCCAGACGCCUUGUGCUUUCUUCAAUAGACCUAAGGGAUGCCUUAAAGGUUCCGCUUGUCUCUUCCUGCAUGAUAUGCCCGGACAAAAGAGGUCUGGGGGGAUGUUGGAAGCUGAGCAUUCAAAGAGAAUGAGAUAAAGUGAGGAACUUACUAAUAGGACAUGACGCAAGAGGUAUCUUUUUUCUUAUAUGCAGCAAACUAGUGACAAAGGCAGUUGCACAGAUGUUGAAACUAAAAGCACUUCGCUGUCCCUUCUCCUUGGGGGAAUUUUUGAAAAGCAGACCUUUAAACUUGCAUAAAAAAUGUACAGACUUGGCUUUUAUCUGUAAAAUCUUGGAAGUAGUUUUCUUUUGAAACUUCGAAGUUGGAUGAAACGUUGUGUGUGUUGAGAAAAUUUCUUGUCCGACUGGUUUUACUGAAAUCGUGUAAGUAUUGUGUAGCCCUCCCCUACUUUGAAAACGAUGACAUAAAAGUGUCGUACAGAAUUGGUAUGCUGAUAUCAGUAAAGAAUUCAAGGUGUUAAGUUGAUUGAUACUAUAAUUUAGUGGGAAAUAAAUAAUAAGGUGAUGAUGCAUUUUGAUGGUGAAGUGUUUAUGAAAGGCAGUUAAACAUAUAUAUAGAAUGACAUUAACAAUGAGAUAUGACUGACAUUAUAGGACUUUAAUUAAAAGUAAAGAGUAGAGGGUACUGGUAUAAAAGUUGGUUGGUGAGAAAUGCUGCAUGGCCCCACCACUAGUUGCAGUAGUAAGAGGAAAUAAUAAACUAGUAUUGAUGGCAGAGCACAAUUUACUAGAAUUCAGAGUUACCUGGAGACUCCAGUCUAAAGACAAUAUCUUCGUGACUCAUGACCAGUAGCCGCCGAGUCAGUUGUAGGGAAGACGAGCUGAGUCUUACAUUUCAUCUUAGGCAAGGGUUAAAGCUAGAGUCUUCUUUUCAAACUGCAGAUCCAGCGGGUUCACGUUGGUGGAGGAACUGAAUUGGAAAAAUAAAGGGAUUCAUUAUGCCUACCUAACGGGUUUUGCUUUGGUGGAGGAACUGGAUUGGAGAAAAGAGAGAUUCCUUAUGCCUACCUAAUGGGUUUUGCUUUGGUGGAGGAACUGAAUCGGAAAAAAGAGGCGGCCUACCUAACUGGAUUCGUGUUGGUGGCGGAAAGAAACGAAUUCAUUACGCCCACCUAAUUGGAUUGGUGUUGGUGGAGGAACUAUAUCAUUAGGCCUUGGAUUGAGAAUUCAAAGGAGAAGUAGAUAGAUAGAUCAGCCUUGGUGGUGGAGGAGAUGGAUUGGAAAGGAGAAGGGAUUCAUUAGAUUGGCAAUUUAAACGAGAAAGAGAUAGAUCAACCUCGCUUUCGAACUACAACUUCCACGGAUUCAUUUUGGAAUUAAGUAAAAACUUGCUUAUUCGUUCUGGACAGACAAGUAAACAAGUCAAAUCACCUACGAAACUUGUAAUUAGCUCACUGGCGGAUAAUAAAACAAAUAACUUCAGUUGAUUCUGAGCGGUUAAGCAGCUUGGCCAUGCAUACUUAAUGACACAGCGGAUCUAAGACAAUGAUAAAUCCAUUAAAUAAAAAAGGACAAUUCGAUUUACCUUAUAUAUCUAUCAUAAAUCUAUUAAAUAUAUCUAAAAAAUAUCUGUUCGAAACCUAGAAGCAAAUCGCUCACCUAGUGGUAUUGAAGGAACACACUUAAAACUGUUUGCCUGCCUUCGGGUUUGAUUGCCCUUGGACUCAUAUAAAUAAGUUUUUUUUUUUUUAAUAUAAAAAUGAAAAAGUUGUGAUGUUGAAUCCGCUAUAAGUUUCAACAAAAUGUAUGACCAUUUACGAAGUUGUGUUGCCACAUCAUGAAACCGAUGUUAAGACACCAACAACAUCCACGCAUUUGGACGAUAAAGAUUUGGCCUGA
RNAcentral lists this long non-coding RNA (8210 nucleotides) under Capsicum annuum. Its description in RNAcentral is "long non-coding RNA (CANN_LNC003630)". The record is from RNAcentral. Lineage: Eukaryota; Viridiplantae; Streptophyta; Magnoliopsida; Solanales; Solanaceae.